This 336-nucleotide unclassified non-coding RNA is filed under the name soil metagenome. RNAcentral's name for it is "partial contains 5.8S ribosomal RNA, internal transcribed spacer 2, and large subunit ribosomal RNA". The stretch from base 1 to 120 matches the Rfam family "5.8S ribosomal RNA", at positions 35 to 154 of the family's 154-position model. The record is from RNAcentral.
GAUGAAGAACGUAGCGAAAUGCGAUAAGUAAUGUGAAUUGCAGAAUUCAGUGAAUCAUCGAAUCUUUGAACGCACAUUGCGCCCGCCAGUAUUCUGGCGGGCAUGCCUGUUCGAGCGUCAUUUCAACCAUCACGCCCCAGGCUUGUGUUGGGGACCUGCGGCUGCCGCAGGCCCUGAAAACCAGUGGCGGGCUCGCUGUCACACCGGGCGUAGUAGAUUUUAUCUCGCUCAGGGCGUGCUGCGGGUUCCGGCCGUUAAAAAGCCUUUUUUACCCAAGGUUGACCUCGGAUCAGGUAGGAAGACCCGCUGAACUUAAGCAUAUCAAUAAGCGGAGGA